AGCUCCAAUAGCGUAUAUUAAAGUUGUUGCAGUUAAAAAGCUCGUAGUUGGAUUUCUGACAGGAGUAACCGGUCCGUGCUUUCUAAGCUCGAGUUACUUGGUUUGCUCCAGUCAUCCUUAUGGAGAGCGUAUGUGACAUUAAAUUGUCGCGUAUGGGACCCAUAUCUUUUACUGUGAAAAAAUUAGAGUGUUUAAAGCAGGCAAUCGCUGUGAAUACAUUAGCAUGGAAUAAUAAGAUAGGACUUUGGUGCUAUUUUGUUGGUUUGCACACCAAGGUAAUGAUUAAGAGGGACAGUUGGGGGUAUUCGUAUUUAAUUGUCAGAGGUGAAAUUCUUGGAUUUAUGAAAGACGAACUACUGCGAAAGCAUUUACCAAGGAUGUUUUCAUUAAUCAAGAACGA
This 400-nucleotide ribosomal RNA is filed under the name phytoplankton environmental sample. RNAcentral's name for it is "partial small subunit ribosomal RNA". It matches the Rfam family "Eukaryotic small subunit ribosomal RNA", at positions 587 to 986 of the family's 1831-position model. The record is from RNAcentral.